Molecule: long non-coding RNA, 420 nt
Filed under: Brassica napus (rape)
Lineage: Eukaryota; Viridiplantae; Streptophyta; Magnoliopsida; Brassicales; Brassicaceae
Description: long non-coding RNA (BNAP_LNC015920)
Source: RNAcentral
UCACAAACUUAGAGUUUAGAGUUAAAGGGUGGGGUUUAGGAUUUAGGGUUUAGGGUUUAGGGUUUAGAGUUUAGGGUUUAGGGUUUAGAGUUUAGGGUUUAAGGUUUAGGGUUUAGAGUUUAGGGUUUAGGUUUUGGGGGUAAGAUUUCAAAUUUUGAAAAAUAAAAAAAUUAAAAUUUUCAAAGGAUAAAUUUAGAAAUGUGCUAUUUUGGUCAUUUUAGUUUUUGAGUGCUAUUUUUGUGAUAUAAACUUAGAAAUGUGCUAUUUUGGAGAUUUGCCCUAGAUAUUAUAUUAAAUUCAUAUAUGUUUGGGUUUGGUUCAGUCUAUAUACUGUCAGUUUUUUGUUUAUUCAAUUUUAGUCUAGUCUCAGUUGAUUUUUUGUUUCUUUUUGUUUAUAAAAUUAUAUACCAUAUUAAAAUC